This 274-nucleotide ribosomal RNA is filed under the name uncultured bacterium. Its description in RNAcentral is "partial 16S ribosomal RNA". It matches the Rfam family "Bacterial small subunit ribosomal RNA", at positions 523 to 796 of the family's 1533-position model. The record is from RNAcentral.
AGACGUAGGAUGCAAGCGUUAUCCGGAAUCAUUGGGCGUAAAGAGUCCGUAGGUGGUAUGUUAAGUUGGAUGUUAAAUUUUUGAGCUCAACUCAAAAAAUGUGUCCAAAACUGGCAAACUGGAGACAGGUAGAGGCAAGUGGAAUUCUGCAUGUAGGGGUAAUAUCCGUAGAUAUGCAGAGGAACACCAAAAGCGAAGGCAGCUUGCUGGACCUGUUCUGACACUAAAGGACGAAAGCGUGGGGAGCAAACGGGAUUAGAAACCCGAGUAGUCC